RNAcentral lists this ribosomal RNA (253 nucleotides) under uncultured bacterium. RNAcentral's name for it is "partial 16S ribosomal RNA". It matches the Rfam family "Bacterial small subunit ribosomal RNA", at positions 524 to 776 of the family's 1533-position model. The record is from RNAcentral.
GACAGAGGAGCCAAGCGUUGUCCGGAUUGACUGGGCGUAAAGCGCACGCAGGCGGAUGCGCGCGUGGGGUGUGAAAUCUGGCCGCUUAACGGCCAGGCGCCAUCCCAUACGGCGCGUCUGGAGUGAUGCAGAGGUCGAUGGAAUUGCCGGUGUAGUGGUGAAAUGCGUAGAGAUCGGCAGGAACACCCAGGGGGAAACCAGUCGACUGGGCGUCUACUGACGCUGAGGUGCGAGAGCGUGGGGAGCGAACCGG